CCGAGUUUACAACUCCCAAGCCCCUGUGAACAUACCACUUGUUGCCUCGGCGGAUCAGCCCGCUCCCGGUAAAACGGGACGGCCCGCCAGAGGACCCCUAAGCUCUGUUUCUAUAUCGUAACUUCUGAGUAAAACCAUAAAUAAAUCA
Molecule: unclassified non-coding RNA, 148 nt
Filed under: soil metagenome
Description: partial internal transcribed spacer 1
Source: RNAcentral